Callorhinus ursinus (northern fur seal) is the source of this 90-nucleotide non-coding RNA. The record is from RefSeq and is a predicted model, not a curated record. Lineage: Eukaryota; Metazoa; Chordata; Mammalia; Carnivora; Otariidae.
UUGUUGUGUAGGGAAGUAUUCCAGGCAGACAUCUUUCCCUCCCUGCAUUCUGCUUCCGCUCCAGACUCCAGUUCCCUUCAGACCAUCUCU